Molecule: non-coding RNA, 73 nt
Organism: Schistocerca gregaria
Lineage: Eukaryota; Metazoa; Arthropoda; Insecta; Orthoptera; Acrididae
Source: the annotation of a RefSeq genome assembly
UUCCGGAUGGUGUAGUAGUUAUCGCACCUGCUUAACAAGCAGGAGAUCCCGGGUUCGAAUCCCGGUCCGGUAC